RNAcentral lists this ribosomal RNA (466 nucleotides) under uncultured bacterium. Its description in RNAcentral is "partial 16S ribosomal RNA". It matches the Rfam family "Bacterial small subunit ribosomal RNA", at positions 28 to 505 of the family's 1533-position model. The record is from RNAcentral.
GACGAACGCUGGCGGCGUGCUUAACACAUGCAAGUCGAACGGAAAGGCCCUGCUUUUGUGGGGUGCUCGAGUGGCGAACGGGUGAGUAACACGUGAGUAACCUGCCCUUGACUUUGGGAUAACUUCAGGAAACUGGGGCUAAUACCGGAUAGGAGCUCCUGCUGCAGGGUGGGGGUUGGAAAGUUUCGGCGGUUGGGGAUGGACUCGGGGCUUAUCAGUUUGUUGGGGGGGUAGGGGCUUACCAAGGCUUUGACGGGUAGCCGGCCGGAGAGGGUAACCGGUCCAUAUGGGUAUGGGAAGCGGCCCAGGGCACUAAGGGAGGAAGGGGGGGGGAAUUAUGCAAAAAUGGCGGGAGCCUGAUGCAGGCACGCCGGGUGGGGGAAGCCGGCAUUCGGGGUGAAAACCCGUUUCGCCUUUCACGGAGGGUGGGGGGCGGUAAAGGGAAAAAGAGCCCCCGCUCACCACG